UCGUAUAGUUUCUGUACUGGGCACAAGGGACACGUACAGUAUUAGAAACAGCUACAUGUGCUUUUUCUGAUGCAAUUGACACAGCACCAAAUCCAUUUGAAGCCCAGUCUACGUGACUUAAUAUUCUCUCACUCAGGCCUCUUGUCUUUCCUUCCUGUUCACUCACUUUACAGUACAGUAGUACUACUGUCAAUACUGAUUCUGCUCGGAAGUUUUGCCGUUUGAUUUGUACGACGUUGUGUUAUUUAGACCCAAGUUUGUAAAGAAACAUUUCUUGUCUUGAUAAAAGAUCAUCAAUUACUGAUAAAUUCCUACCCUGAAGAAGUUUAGCUCUUCCUUUCCACGGCAGUUCAGUGAAACCCCCUCUCACUGCUCCCCCUCUGUGAUCUCUGCUGGCCUCUGACUCUUAAACCCUGUGCUCAUGCAGACCUGCUAUCACAGUCACAUAUCUUUCCUGGCGCCAUGCCCUUGGCCUUCUGUCCUUUAGAAUCUGGACAGAACUUUCUUCCAAGCCAUUUGAAACUGGACGGUAUGGGGCAGAUGUAAUAUGUCUUAUUCCGUUCAUUUUCAGGAAUGACUGAAACGGUUCCACAACAAACUGUGGUCCAUUGUCACUGACCAGGUGUUCUGGAACACCAGCCCUGAGAAGAGGCUUCUCAACACAUCAGUGUGCCAGGCUGUAAUGGAGGCUUUGGGGCACUUUGUAACCGCAUCCACUACUAUCAAGAAAUUCGUGCCCAUGAACGACCUGACAAAAUCCAGGUGAAUCCUCUGCCAGGACAAUGCAGGUCAUCUCCAGGGAUGGAGAGGUGCUGCCCUUGGCACUUGGAUGUGUUGGCAUCCUGAACGGUGCACCGGGCCAGCUGACAAAGCUUUUGGCCAUGUAUGUAGCCCCUCCAACACUUCAGCACAUAAGGCAAACCCCGUCACAGGCAAAUUCAUCCCAGUGUGUAAGAAUGGGGGAACUGGAAUUUCUGCUGCACAUUCCAGCCAUCUCGUGUGGCUACGUCGACCUGAGAUAGUGUGGGGUCUUUUCUGGUUUCCUUUUGGGUCAUCUUGGCCAUAAUAGAGAGACUUUCGAUUUGUGUUAGGGAGAAUAUUUACAUCAAGACGAGUGUCCUCUUUUGUUAAUUUUUCAAGUAUUUCCUUUUCCAAGGGUAAACAGGGCAAUCCAUCAGCAUCCCCAUGAUUAGGUAUUCUCUUGAAUUUGAUCUUGUACUUGUAUCCUCCCAUCUCGGCAUUUGUGCGGUUGCUGUUAAUGGACACCCUUCUGUGGACUGAAAAUGGACGCCAGUAGUUGAUAAUCAGUAAUGAGGGUACAUUCUCUCCCAUACAGUGUUUUACACCUCAAACCAUAUUCAAAGCCUCUUUGACAAUGUGUGUAUAAUUUUUCUCUGCAGUGGUUAGGGAAUGUGAUGCAAAGCCAAUGGGGCAAUCACAUUCAUCACUCCUAACAUGUGACAUGAUGGCACCUGUCCCAUAAGGUGAGGCAUUCCGGCAAAAUUCACUGGAUGAUGUGAAUCGUGAUGUGUGGGUACAGUGUCUGACGCCCCCAUUUCCUUUGCCUUUUGGAAAGCCACCUCACACAAGCUUUGUCCAUGGCCAUUUCUUCCCGAUCUGUAAUAUGUAAUGAGUUCAAGGUUUGGCAGGAACCUGUUACAGUAAUUGAUAAAUUACUAAAAAGGAUCACAAAUGUGACAUGUCCUUUGGUUAUCCACCCCUGCUUGAAAGUUCUCGGCACAUUUGUGUAACAUUUGUGUGUCAAUGGUGUGAUCGCAGUAGGUGAUGCUUAGUUUAAAGAAAUGGCAUUUGCUGUGUUGUACUCUGAGCCCAUAAUCUUAUAAUAUUUUAGAAGUUUUGUUCUUUUGGAGAUGUUGUUAAUGCGUUUUUAGGGUUAGCACAUGUAGCAAAUAAUUUCAGCAACUGACUUCAGCUACCAGUCUUCAGAUUUGAAUAUGAACUGUGGAUUAAGGCUAUGUCCACACUAGACCGGAUAAUUUUGAAAAAGCAGGUUUGCGUAAAAACAAUAGACAUCCACACCAGGUGUUUUUGAAAAUACUUCUGUCCACAUUAAAACAGGCAUUUGUGUGCAUCUCCACCUACUGGGCAUGUGCAGGACACGUCUACAGAAAACAAGCGACAUGUUUAGUGUCAAAUCUCACCGUGAAAGACUCGGUGUGCAUUUGUUCAGUUACAGUUAAAAGGAAAUUGCCAAAUGACGGACAGCUGUUGGCUCUCGUGGAGGACUUAAAACUAAAAAAACAAAUACUGAAACGUAUGGAGGCAACCGACAGGGAGUUCACAGACAGUAUGAGCUGGCUGACGACGAACAUUGAAAAACUGACUAACACUGUUGCAGAGGGAUUUGCAUUGAUGAGGAAUAUGAUGGCUCCCCCCAGUACUUUUCACUGCCACAAUACCAGCCUCACAGCCACUACAAUAGCUGCACAUACAGACACACAGACCCCGGGUGGUCCCACCAACAUCUUCCCCACUCCCACAGAGGGGUCACCCUGGGAACAGUUCCUACAGCCAUAGUCUCUUCAUCAUUGAAAAGGACAACUAAAUGCAGUAAGGCUUGUUACAGGGCAAAAGUGAAUUUUUCUGUAUUUAACAUGUGCAAUAAAAUGAGUUACUGGACAAAAGUGAUUUUAUUUUUACCUGAGUAAAAUUGAAACUUACAAUUUUACUUUUUUGGCCUUAACAUUUUCACGUCUAUGCCAAACAUAAGCUAUUUAAAAAUGACAUUUUGGAAGUAGUGAUAAUUGCAUCUAUUGAAUGUUUACACAAGCAAUACAUUAAUAAAGCACCUUGUUAAAUGUAUAAAGCAUGUCUGCAUCAGUAUUAUCUUGUAUUUCCAUACAAUGUUACAUUAGGCUGUUACACAUCUAUUGUCAGAGAAGUACUUGCAUAAAUAGGUAAACCACCUUCAUACGAGCAAGGACAGAAAACAGGACAAAGUGAGUAUACUUCUUUAUUCAGUAAGUUAUGGGUCAAAGUAUUUGGUGAGUACAUUUCUAACUCUUCUGGAUUCUGUCCCGUUGCCGUCUGUCUGAAAUUGUUAGGUUGUGUGGGGGGGUUGAAAUUCUCUGUCAUACUGCAAAGCUGCAGUAACAUUCUGCUCAGGGACAGUCUCCUGAAGCCACCCGUCGUCGUCGUUGUGGUUUUGGAGGUUGCAUUCAAGAAAACAAUGAAAUGCUGCGCUGCCACCACCAUCUGUUCCGGUACAUCAUGACAGCAUUUUUAAAAAGCUUCGGUUACCCCAUACAAACUACACUGUUCAAUCAGCGUUUUCAGAUUUAAACACUCUGGAGAGCAUUUUAGAAAAGCUCCAUUUUCGGGGGAGGAAAAGACCGUUUCAGUGUGGACAGAGGGUCAAAAUGAAAAGCUUUGGUUACCGAUUUAUCUGGUCUAGUGUGGACGUAGCCUAAGUCUAAAAUACAGGUGUGAACAACAGGUUUCUAUGACCGUGAACCACAGUUAAUUGGAAAACCAGACAAUGCUGAUUUAAUUCGUUAUUGGGAUGGCUAUCAUCUGGGUGUGAAGAGGGAGGUGUGAAGAUGGUGUGUGGUUCAAAGGAAGCAUAGUGGAUGCAUUGUAAAUAUGGAAUUGUCCUUUGAACUGUAGCAUAUAAAAUGCCAUUUUGUAUUGGGUCAGGCAGCUCUUCUUUCUCUCUCUCUCUCUCUCUCUCCCUCUCUCCUCUCUCUCUCCUCUCUCCUCUCUCUCUCAUGACUCCAAAAGGCUGUCAGCUUACUUGUGAGUGUGUAAAUCAAAUAAAAAGACUACUUUUCACAUCUACCAAUUCUGUCUUUCCAGUGACUUUGUUCACGUGACAAAAUCUGGGGGCUCGACUUGGAUAACUUUGCAAUUCCCAUUGUGUGGCCAGUGACCUCAGCAGUCUAAUGUGGAGAUACAGUACUUCAGAGAGAGGUUUUACCCAGAUGCAUCUGUCAAGAUGGCACCUUCUAAGGUUGAGAACCCUGAAGACCCUGAUUAUGACCAUUGACAGAGCGGGAGGUCAAGUGUAAUUACAAAGAGAUGAACGCCAGCCGGCCAUGCCAGACCCGACCACAGACGAUGGAAACAGACCCACAGCAAACACUGGGAGUGUGACAGAAACCUGUGAAUGCCAUGCUAAAGUGUAAUGGUGACGGUACUCUGUAAUGAAGACUGGUUGCUGAAGGUAGAUGAUUAGUUGGAAAACAGAAGAGAUUUGGGGAAAAGAGGUUUAAGUUACAGCAGGGACAGCAUGUUCCACAACUUCGAUGGAAUACACUGCAGCCUGAGAAAGAUUACCUGCGGUAUCUGAAGGCAGCCCCCCAGCCUGAAUGGGGAAUAGAUACGAUUGAGCUGGGUCCUUUCAGCGGUUGGGUCAGCGAUUGACUGGACAGUUCAGAAGGGGGUGCCACUGGGGAGAGGUCCUCGCAGUCAUUCAAAUAGAGUCCACCCGACCCCUUCCUGUACAUCGAUGAGAGGGCCUGGGGGUCUGAUGCAAUUACCUUGCUGGUGCCCCUGGAAAGACAGACCAGAGAAUUAAAGGGUGAAGACAAGGGAUGUGAUUUCCCCCAGCAGGGGAAAAGCCAACAGGCAUACAAGUGAAGCUGCCUUUUUAAGCAGUGUUAUUCAAAUUUCUGGAGCAAUCUCUCUGCUUAGCAUUUUGUAGGUAGCAAUUAGGGAUGAUAGGGUAGAUGUAGAUGCACUUAAUUGGUGGGGGGGGGGGAAUUCUGCAGUCCUAUUUAAGUAGAUCCUCCUUAAGGUUGGCCUUUCCUGGUACAAAUUUAUUUUGUCCAGGAGGAUAAAGACGAGGAACUGUCAAGAGCAUUAUUUUGGGAUUAGCGCACGUAGCCAAUAACUUCAGCAACUAGUCUUCAGAUUCGAAUAUGAAAUAUGGAUUAAAUCUAAAAUGCAGCUCUUAAAAAUGGGUUCCUAAGACCGUGAACCACAGUUAAUUGGGAGACCAGGCGAUGCUGAUUAAAUUUGUUAUUUGGGUAUCUAUCGUGUGGGUGUGAGAGAGAAAGAGAGAGAGACAUGAGGGUGGUGUGCAGUCAGAGGAAGGAUUAUAAAUAUGGAAUUCUCCUUUGAUCUUCAGCUUAUAAAGUGUGGUGUCGUGUUGGGUCAGGCAGACCUUUUUUCUUAUUCUCUUUGUCUUUCUCUCCCUUUCUCUAUUUCUCUUUCUCCCUUUCUUUCUCUCUUUCCCUUUCUUUUUCUCUCUCUCUCCCUCUACCCACUCCUCUCUCUACCCAACCCUCCCUCUCCCCCUCUCUCUCCCUCCUUCCCCCCUCUCUCUUUCUCUUUCUAUUUCUCUUUCUCCCUUUCUCUCUCCCUCUCCCCCUCCCCUCCCUCUCUCACCCCUCCCUCUCUCCCCUUCCUCUCUCCCUUUCUCUCCCCUUCUCUCCCCUCUCUAUUUCUCUUUCUCCCUUUCUCUCUUCCCCCCUCUCCCCCUUCUCUCUCUCCCUCUCUGUCUUUCUUCCCCUCUUUCUCCUUCUAUCUCUUUCUCUUUCUCAUGCCAUGGCUUCAUCUAAUACCUUUCUUAAUUCACUUUCAAUUGAUUCUAUUGCAGAGGACAUGGCAUGCAAAUAGUGGAUGGAUCUCCAACCAAGUUGUAGCUGUCUCAGACAAUCACAUCCCACAAUGCUGGCCCUCCUGUUUUUACCCCAUUCAAGCCCAGUGUGGCUUGUUGGUUGUUGUAUGUCACUGUUAAGAAUGUCAUUCCCACAGGAUUUAUCUUUUAUCCAGUGUAAGUUCUUAGAUAAAUAUCUGCAGGCUUUAGUUCAGUAUCUUUGAAAUACCUUUCAAGCUCAUUUUGUGGAAUGACUGAAACAGCUGAGCAAUUGUCCAAUUCACUCUCAUCAUUAUCAAUAACAGCGUGCUCUGUUUGAAACUGCAACUUGACUUUUUAUCUUUUUCUCUUCCCUGCACAGUCCAUUUAUUUUUCUCUGUUGAGAUGCUCUUUGUAUGUGUCCUACUUUGUUGCAUUUUCUGCAAGUUUCGUCUUUAAAUCUGCAUUGGUCUGGUGUAUGUGAGCCUCUGCCACAGUAACGUAAUUUGUUCAGCCAGGCCAGUAUCUGUUUAGACAUUGCUAUUUCGUUCACACUCACUUUAAUUCCUGACUGCAAUUCAAUUGUGACUCUGGCUGUCAUUUCCAUUGAUACAGUAAUUUCAACAGCUCUUUUAAAUGUGAGCUGUGCUUCAAGUUGAAGCUAUUUUUGAAUGCUUUCUUGCAAGAUUCCACAAACCAUAUAAUCUUAAUGCAUCAUUAAGCCCAUUACUGAACUAACAAUGCUCAGACAAUCUCUUCAAUUCAGCCAAGAGUCUGAAAUUGACUCCCCUUCCUUAUGAUUCUGCUUAUGAAAUCUAAAGGGUUGUGCAGUCAACAAUGGUUUCAGUUCCAAAUGUUUGCACAUUAUGUUCACGAUAUCAGCAAAGCUCAUUUUGGCUUGUUUGGUUGCAACAGUCAAACUUCUAAGCAAACUGUAUGCUCUUCCACCAAUUGCACUCAGCAAAGCUGGCACUUGUUUCUCAUUGACCAUUCCAGUUGCUUUAAAAUACAGCUCAGUCCACUCAGUAUACAUCAUCCAGUUAUUGUUUGUGCAAUCAAACACAUCUAUCUGUCUGAUAUAGCCAGCCAUUUCUGCUUUAUUUGAUUUAUUAUUGUUAUUACCCUGUACUCACUGUUUAUGAAUCUGUGAAUUUCAUCCAUUUUCUGCCUUCUUAAAAAAAAAACUUGACCGUCUUUCUCUCUCCCUUCAGAAGUAAAAAAUGAGCUGUGCAUUUUUAAAACUUGAAUGUCUCACUGAGCUUCAACAGGUUAGUAGUCUUCUCAGGUUUGUUUGAAAGCUUCCUUGUCGCCACUAUUAUGGUUUGUAAUCCGGAAACUAAUCAAAAGUAAAAAAAAACA
Hypanus sabinus (Atlantic stingray) is the source of this 6898-nucleotide long non-coding RNA. RefSeq lists it as uncharacterized. The transcript is spliced from 3 exons. The record is from RefSeq and is a predicted model, not a curated record. NCBI's taxonomy places the organism in Eukaryota, Metazoa, Chordata, Chondrichthyes, Myliobatiformes, Dasyatidae.